UUAGGUUUUGCAGCAAAUGCUCUGGAAUGGAGAAGCCACGGACUGCCUGGGGGCAUGUGCUGGAAACAACAGGAAGGUGAGAACAGUGGACCAACCACAUAUUUUGGACUUAACCCAGUGAAUGGCAACUGUAUGCAUGGAUUGAGAGAGAGGGAAGAGAGAACGAGAGAGAAAGGGCACUAGCUGUGAGGAGAGCCAUCAUGUCUGAGUGGCCCCCUGGAGAGGUUCAAACAGCAAGGAGCUAAGGCCUCUUGU
This 255-nucleotide long non-coding RNA is filed under the name Mustela putorius furo (domestic ferret). Its description in RNAcentral is "lncRNA (ENSMPUG00000030330.1)". The record is from RNAcentral. Lineage: Eukaryota; Metazoa; Chordata; Mammalia; Carnivora; Mustelidae.